ACACAGGGUCAGGUUUGCCAGUUGAUGCAAAAUAUGAAUGGACUGAUCUAAAGGAAGCUCUGUCACCCAUUGACAAGGCUCAUCAAUUUGGCACUGAAUUUCUCCAGGCUUUGGAUUCAAAGUUGAGCAUACUAGCUAAAGAUGCCAAAGAAGUGGAGAUUGUGACUGCAGGCGACGAAGCCCACAACGUGACUGCAGGCGACGAAGCCCACAA
Nematolebias whitei (Rio pearlfish) is the source of this 214-nucleotide long non-coding RNA. RefSeq lists it as uncharacterized. The record is from RefSeq and is a predicted model, not a curated record. The transcript has 3 exons. Lineage: Eukaryota; Metazoa; Chordata; Actinopteri; Cyprinodontiformes; Rivulidae.